UUCACCCAGAAUUCCAUCCUUAUCGAGC
Molecule: non-coding RNA, 28 nt
Filed under: Homo sapiens (human)
Lineage: Eukaryota; Metazoa; Chordata; Mammalia; Primates; Hominidae
Source: RNAcentral